This is a non-coding RNA of Acanthosepion pharaonis, 113 nucleotides long. NCBI's taxonomy places the organism in Eukaryota, Metazoa, Mollusca, Cephalopoda, Sepiida, Sepiidae. The record is from the annotation of a GenBank genome assembly.
UACAGCCACAUCAUGUUGAAACAACAAUUCCCAUAUGAUCACUGAAGUUAAGCAAUGUUGAGCCUGGUCAGUACCUGGAUGGGUGACCACUUGAAAAUACCAGGUGCUGUAUG